This 25-nucleotide non-coding RNA is filed under the name Cricetulus griseus (Chinese hamster). Lineage: Eukaryota; Metazoa; Chordata; Mammalia; Rodentia; Cricetidae. The record is from RNAcentral.
GGGGCUAGAGAGAUGGCUUAGAGGU